RNAcentral lists this ribosomal RNA (460 nucleotides) under uncultured bacterium. RNAcentral's name for it is "bacterial SSU rRNA". It matches the Rfam family "Bacterial small subunit ribosomal RNA", at positions 917 to 1382 of the family's 1533-position model. The record is from RNAcentral.
GGGCCCGCACAAGCAGCGGAGCAUGUGGCUUAAUUCGAAGCAACGCGAAGAACCUUACCAGGACUUGACAUUCAGGUGAAGCGGUGGAAACACCGUGGCCGAGAGGAGCCUGAACAGGUGGUGCAUGGCUGUCGUCAGCUCGUGUCGUGAGAUGUUGGGUUAAGUCCCGCAACGAGCGCAACCCUUGUCGUAUGUUACCAGCAUUCAGUUGGGGACUCAUACGAGACUGCCGGCGUUAAGCCGGAGGAAGGUGGGGAUGACGUCAAGUCAUCAUGCCCCUUAUGCCCUGGGCUGCACACGUGCUACAAUGAUCGGUACAAAGGGCUGCUAAGUCGUGAGACCAAGCGAAUCCCAUAAAGCCGGUCCCAGUUCGGAUUGGAGGCUGCAACCCGCCUCCAUGAAGUCGGAGUUGCUAGUAAUCGCGGAUCAGCACGCCGCGGUGAAUACGUUCCCGGGCCUU